This 178-nucleotide microRNA precursor is filed under the name Medicago truncatula (barrel medic). Its description in RNAcentral is "MIR2619 microRNA precursor family". It matches the Rfam family "MIR2619 microRNA precursor family". Lineage: Eukaryota; Viridiplantae; Streptophyta; Magnoliopsida; Fabales; Fabaceae. The record is from Rfam by way of RNAcentral.
AAAUCGCCCCUAAGUUUUGCAACUGUAGCAGUUUUGGCCCCUUAAGGCCAAUAUUUGGUAUAAAAAAUUAAAAAAUAACACGUGGCACCUUACUUAGGGUGCCACGUCAGCGUAGACAGAACCAAAAUUGGUCUUAGGGGUCAAAACUGCCACAUAUGCAAAACUUAGGGGACGGUUU